RNAcentral lists this unclassified non-coding RNA (638 nucleotides) under Gymnodinium impudicum. RNAcentral's name for it is "partial 5' external transcribed spacer". The record is from RNAcentral. Lineage: Eukaryota; Dinophyceae; Gymnodiniales; Gymnodiniaceae.
ACCCUCUGAAUUUUUAUUUUCUCGCAGGCGUUUCGGGUGGUUGGAAGAUCGAUUUGUUCAACGCCGACUCCACCGAACGAGGCUGGCCAACCGAUGGCUCGCAAGAGCGUCCAAGGCAAGACUGCGUAAUGAUCGGCCGCCUUUUUCGNGAGAGCGCGGCGGGAGCAGCCGAACCGACCUAUAUAUAUAGGGGUUGGCGCCCUCGGGUGUCCGAGGUCGCUUCUCCCAGNUCAUCAGACAAACAGACAGGCGUCCAGCAAGCGCGGUCUUGAGCAAUCAAGGUGGCUCUGCGUGGAGGUCUGGCUGCGGGUGUUGGAAUCCUANCCUUCCCAUCUCUGCGGAGGGUAGGGUUGCACAGUUUUGGGUUCGCUGUAUUCAGUGAACAAAAGCCCUUCCCUUGGAAUGGCUGCGCGCAUUGGUAAUGCUUUGCGCUGUUCGCCCUGCUUCGGGAUGAUGAAUCGCAUUGCGAUUGCGGUCGUCUUCUUGAGCGGCGUGGGCGUUCACGUGUGGGCUUCUACCUCUGGAAGCUUCACAACGGUGGGCUUUCGCAAAUGAUCUUGUUAUCGUUGCGAUGCUGACCGCGUGCUGUCGGGCGUAGGACUGCCUCUGUGGUGGCCCUUGCUCGUCAGUGAUGUAUC